Molecule: long non-coding RNA, 5761 nt
Filed under: Equus caballus (horse)
Lineage: Eukaryota; Metazoa; Chordata; Mammalia; Perissodactyla; Equidae
Description: lncRNA (ENSECAG00000053271.1)
Source: RNAcentral
UGCCUUUCCUGUUUAGGCCCUUUUUCCCUUUCGGACCAUUGCCUAUGGGGUGAGGUAAUGAUCUGGUUUCGUUUCCCCAGUGUUCUCAGCCCCAUUUGUGGAAGAGUGUGUCCUCUGCUGUGUGGGGGCCGCCCCGUGGAAGUGGGCUGUUUCCGAGCUCUCCUGUCUGGCCGUCGGCCCCUCUCCCAGCACCUCACUCUCCUACUUACUGUGGCUGAUGCUGUGUUCGUGCCCCUUCGGCACAUCCUUUCGGCUUUUCCUUCCUCAGUUUUCUCUGCUCUUCUUGACCCUUUGCUUUUCCACAUGCAUUUUAAAAUCAGAUCGUCAAUUUGCACACAGUAGAAUCUUGAAAAUUUGUUGCCUUAUCAUACUUACACUUACUUUGGGAGAAUUCAUAUCUUCACUGACGUUGUGUGCAGCCUUGCUGGCCCUGUGUUGCUCUCAGGAUUGCUCCCCUCCCUCCCUGUUGGCCCGGAUCCCCUCCUUGUCCCCGAGCUCCGCCGCGCAGUGAAGGAGGAUGCCUGCUGUAUGGAACCGGGCACUCCUCGGGCCUUUCAGGUUAUCUUGCCGGCCGCAUCACUGAGAGGGAAGCCUCUCACUGGGGAUGUUUCUCCAACACUGUGGUCCCUAGUUGUGUCCUUGGCGGACAGCCUGUGACAGCCGCGGGAAAGCGGUCUGCCUCUCACUUUCUCGGGAUGCUCACUGGAGCAGCAAGAGUAACUUACGUUUUGUCUUUAAAAACAGAUAUGUUCAGUGUUCGAAUAUUUUAGGAAAUCGUAUCCUGAAAAGGAAGUGCCUCUGGAAGCUACGUCUGCUCUGCUGUGCACGUCCGAGUGGUGCAGCGAGGCCAGUAGACAGUGGGGUAAAGGUGGUGGUUUCUGAGCGGGGGCUGUCUGGGUGCUGCAGAUAGGUUCACUGCUCACCAUCCAAAUGAGAGUGGCUCACGAAGCCGCCUGCUUGACAGAUGCUACCCCACCACCAUGAGGCAGUGUGCCUUUGAGCGGACGGAGGGCCGCUGUGCUGAAAUUGCGGUCUGGACGGUGGAGUGAGAGUUGGCCGUGGUGCUGCGGGUGUGUGGUGCGCGCUCUGAGAUGCAGGAUGCUGCACUUCCUUCAUGUGGGAUGGAAAUCAGGAAGAUGCGAGCAGCGGCGGCUGCUGAAAGCUGCUCUGCGAUGGUUCCCUGGGAGGCGGAGGCCACGGGAGGAGCGCGCACAGCAUCCACGCCAGAGGGCAGGGACGCCCACUACGCCUUCGGACAGCCUUCUCGGCACAUUUCCUCAGAGAUCUUUACCUCUGCAAAAGAAACUGGUAUGUUUUAUGGACACAUUUUUAUGUAGAUCCAGUUUCUUGAAAGGUCGCAGCACCAAGAAGUGUUGCCCAGACAGGGAGUCUGGUGCGUAGUCUCCACUCUUCAGUCCCACGUGACCUCUGGUGCCAUUUCAACAUUACUCCAGGCAGGAAGGAAGUAUUUUCUGUUUUUUUCCUGAGAAUAAUUAACCUGAAAUAUUUCCUGUUCAGUUAGUUGUAGCUGUGGUGUGAUUGGGCUCGACCGUGCCGGGGUUCUGAGCUGAACUCCAGGACUGUGUGGAGCAGCUGUGCUUGAGCCCGCUGCUCCCCCUGCAGAGGACCACUGAGACCCUCCCUGGGAUAAACACGCAGGUGAAGCGGCCGUAAUGCUGCUCUGUCUACCAAGGCGACAAAGGACAUGUUGAAAGUACGCCUGCUCCCUUGUCAUCGGGAAUGGAGGAAGGGAGUCCUCAGAAAUUGCUGGUAGAAAUGUCACUCAGUACAGCCCUGUAGAGGUGGUUUUAUAGCAUGUCUUAAAAUAUCCAACUUAUCUAUCCUUUGAUGUAACAGUCCUCUCCGCACAUUAAAUUGACUCAUAUCCACACUCCCCGAAUGUUGGGGUGCCCCAGACUAUCUUAUCCACACCCACGUACCAAGUAACUUAACCUGGUCCCAUGGCUUCUGUGUCCAUAUAUGGAUAGUUGUGGCUCCCAAACUGAGUUCUCCAACUGUGCCCAUCUGCAGGCUCAGGGUUUUAUGUGGGAUGGCUCAUGAAGUAUCAUCACCUCUGCUUGAUGUCUGUUGGGCGUCUCACCCCCUCAAAGCUCCACAGCAAGUGCCUUCCUCCAUCCCCCAUCUCAGGAAAUGGAAAGUGCACAGCAUUGUCACCCUGGUCACCCUCUUCCUGUCAGACCCUGAGCACUACCCGCCAGCACGGCCACACUCUGACCCUUCUCAAAGAAAAGUCCAUUUUCUUGACCAGUGUGUUUUCCUUACCUCCUAAGAGGAGAGUCUCUCUGAGUUGCUGAGGGCGUGCGUGUUGGCAGCCCAGGACUUCUCCACAGGGAUAGGACAUCUGCCUGAGGUAGAGAAGGAGGGGCCGGGGAAGCCCAGGCUGCGGACAUUGAGCAGAAAAUGAUCUGACCCCUCCCUCAGAUCUCCCGCAAAGUGACCCUGCUCUCGUCCACACAAAACCUGCACACGGGUGUUUCAGCAGCUUUAUUCAAAAUCGCCAAAGCUUGGAAGCACCAAGGCGUCCUUCAGUGGGUGGAUGAACAAACUGUGGUCCAUCCAGACAGUGGAACAGUAUUCAGCACAAAAAAGAAAUGAGCUGUCAAGACAUGAAAGACAUGAAGGAACCUUAAAUGCACAUGACUAAGGGAAGACGCCAAUCUGAAAAGGCUACAUACUGUGUGAUUCCAACCAUAUGACAUUCUGGAAAAGGCAAAACUAUGGAGACGUAAAGAGAUCAGUGGUGGCCAGGGGUAGAAGGGGCGGGAGGAACAGGUGGAGCAGAGGAUUUUAGGACCUGAAAGUACUCUGCACGAUACUGUACUGGUGGACGCAUGUCAUUAAUUUGUCCAGACCCACAGACUGUACAACGCCCAGAGUGAACCUAAUGCAAACUAUGGACUCUGGGUGAUGAUGACAUGUUACUGUAGGCUCAUCAGUUGUGACAAAUGCACCAUCUGGUGGGGGUUGCUGAUAAUGGAGGAGGCUGUUCAAGAAUGGAGGGGGCAUAUGGGAAGUCUCUGUACCUUCCCCUCAAUUUUGCAGUGAAUCUAAAACUGCUCUAAAAAAAUAAAGUCUUUACAAAAAAAAUUUUUUUAAUUACUCAACUCUUGAGGUGCUUGGGGUGAGUGGACGAUUUGUAGAAGAAGGAGGGGCUGAGCUGUGCAUCUGGAUCGACAAGGGACAGAGGAGAAGCUGGUGCACAGACGCGGGCCUGGGGCAGAGCAGAUGGUGAGUGGGUGCUGCCUCAGGACUCACAGGGUUGCAGGCCGUCUCUGGACCGCUGCAGGCCGUGUGGUUGGGAGCAUGAGCCACGUUUCUUUUGCUGUCCAGGAGGCAGAGGACGUAGCUGACGCCUGCUUCCUUCUGGAGGCGCUAACAGUUAGGAAUCUGACUGCCUGACAGCUGGAGUUGGUUGAGUGAACAGUGCUGCAUUCCUAAUGGAAAAAGCCAGUUAAACCACUGUUUGGUGGUGGUUGUCUUAGUGAUGGAGCUGUGGGGAGCUUCACGCGCUUCCUCAGUUGGUGGCCACUGUACCUGAGGCUUCUGGAGGCUGGUUGUGGUUAUUGUUCUUUUUGAGACGCCGGGCUGGAGACCCGGAAUUGGCUUUGUCAAGGUUGGCUUGGAAGCUGCUGUGACCGUCAUUGGACGUAGAGUGAUAAAGCGUGGGGCGUCCACGUCAGAGCACACUGAGCUCCUUAAGUGAGGCAGAUCAGUGCGUCUCUGUCAACGACGGGCAGUGUGGAUACAGAUGGGGUGGAAGGGCACCUGGAAGGCGAGAGCUUGUGUCCCCACCCGUACUUUCACCCUUUUCCUCCACUCGUGUCCGCCUGCGAGCGCGCAGCUCACACCAGUGCUUCAGUCAGAAUCGCGCUUACUCUCUGAGGGUCUGUGACGCUCCCACACCUUUAGGAGAGUGAGUUUCCCUGUGUGCGCGGGCUCCCCUCCUGUCAGCUUCUGUCACGUCGCCUCCAUUGUUUCCUCGUGGCCCUGCAUGUGCCGUAGGCGAAACGCCUGUGUGCUCGUGCUCUCUCCUUUUAGAAGACAGGGCUGUGUCGUCAUGACCAUCACACUGUCCCAGUGCUGGCACAGUGGCUGGCACAGAGGAGGCAGCAAGUGAGUUCAGGCACCUGCACCUGAGUCCCCCCUGGGUCUGAGGAAGGGGCUGAACCAAGUAGACAGUGAGGCACAUGUUGGGGAUGACCGUCUAAACCCACUUCCAGCAGUGUAGCCAUGAGAAUCUCCCAGAAUUCUCUUCCACUUGGAUGCAGCCCCCAUCGUUACCAAGACCCGCUGAGUGGUUGCCGUGGGCAGGGCUGCUGAGAGCAGGAUGUGAUCUCCAGUCUCCAAACAGCCCUCUAAGGCGGGGCUCUGACAUCACAGGAGGAGCCUGAGGCUCGGAUCGCAGGGCUGUGUAGCGGGACGAGCUGAGAUCAGAGCCCAGACGGGGUUCUAGAGCUUCCUGCGGUCUCGUCCCCCAUGCUGUCUUGUCUUCCCGCGGUACUCAGGUCCUGACAGGUUUUGAGCAGUUGCACCAGAGUUGUGGAGUCACCGGGUCUGUGGGUGUCUGAUUCACUGCGUGCAGCAGAAGCUGCGCUGGGAGCACCAGCCAGUCACUGGUCAUUCAGAAAGCUGCUGGGUGACGGCUGCGGCUGAGGAUGGAACUUCCUUGCCACCAUUAGCUCAGUCUCCUUCGGGACGCGAUGAAACAUGGCGACGCCAAGACCCAGCCUGGAAGACGGCUCUACACCGUGAGUUUGCCUCCGGAGGGCUAUGUUCCCGCUCCGCCAGAGCCGCACAGCUGCACAGAGUCCGAGAACUCCACCAGCAGUGACGGCACGGGAGUGUGGCUGGAUCUGAAAUACGAGUUAUUUAUUGAGAACCUAGUAUGUCAUACGUUGGAGAAAGAAGAGUGACUGUAUCGCGAUCCUUGCUCAUGUGGAGCCUGUAGGAAUUCUGCGUGUAACCUGGCUACAUCCUCUUCUUGUGAAAAUAGAAUAGGAAGAUGUUUCCUCUGGGAAGUGAUCUGUGGCGACCAUGGUCAAUGUAGGAAGACAGUCAGGUAAAGGGGACUUGGUAUGGUCGCUCUGCCUGCAGGAACGAUGAACCCCAUCUGUAAGAAGAGCACAGGAUGUGACUGGAGACUCAGGGAACAAAUCCGUGGCCUCAAGAGGGCUUCGGGUAAUGAGUGUGUCUUCAAACUAAGCAGCCAGUUCCGUCAGGUACCACGAGCAAGGCCGACGGUGCCUGUGGCGUCUGAGCGGACCAGGAGCAGGCUCACGCUCUGAGUGUUACCCCUCGGGCGGCCCCGCCUCCUUGGAGAGGAGCGGAGGGAGCCGGGGGCGCCUCUCCUGCGGGGUCUCCGCGGCCCGGCGGCGCGCACGGCCAGGUGCAGCCUUGGGGUUGUGAGGGUCGGAGGGCGCCUUCCCCGUGGGGCUGGGGGCUCGGAGAGCGGGUUCCCCGGUGCCCGCUGGCGCCCUCUCCCUCUGCGCCCCCGGGGAGGCCUCGCGCGUGGCCGACCGACCGUGGCCCCGGCUCCAGCGAGGCCUCGCGCUCCUCCGUAGCAUCUGCCCGGGCACCUCCCUUUUCCCUCUGUUUCUGGAGGAUGUAUUUACUCUAUUUAACCAUUUAUGGCUUUAUAUUUAUCAUUUAUAGGUUUAUGUUAAUUAAUAAUUUCAGUGCGUGUUUUCCUCUUUUACACUCUUAAUUACUCUCCUAACUUUCCCAUUCUUUAGAAAAUUCC